GAUGUGCUUUAGAGUAGACAGGUCUU
Molecule: transfer RNA, 26 nt
Filed under: Hemiphyllodactylus tehtarik (Tebu Mountain slender-toed gecko)
Lineage: Eukaryota; Metazoa; Chordata; Lepidosauria; Squamata; Gekkonidae
Description: tRNA-Ala
Source: RNAcentral